UAAAAUUUUAGCGGCGGACGGGUGAGUAACACGUGGGUAACCUACCUUAUAGAUCGGGAUAACUCCGGGAAACCGGGGCUAAUACCGAAUAAUACUUUUUAACACAUGUUUGAAAGUUGAAAGACGGUCUUGCUGUCACUAUAAGAUGGACCCGCGGCGCAUUAGCUAGUUGGUGAGGUAACGGCUCACCAAGGCAACGAUGCGUAGCCGACCUGAGAGGGUGAUCGGCCACACUGGGACUGAGACACGGCCCAGACUCCUACGGGAGGCAGCAGUAGGGAAUCUUCCACAAUGGACGAAAGUCUGAUGGAGCAACGCCGCGUGAGUGAAGAAGGAUUUCGGUUCGUAAAACUCUGUUGCAAGGGAAGAACAAGUAGCGUAGUAACUGGCGCUACCUUGACGGUACCUUGUUAGAAAGCCACGGCUAACUACGUGCCAGCAGCCGCGGUAAUACGUAGGUGGCAAGCGUUGUCCGGAAUUAUUGGGCGUAAAGCGCGCGCAGGUGGUUCCUUAAGUCUGAUGUGAAAGCCCCCGGCUCAACCGGGGAGGGUCAUUGGAAACUGGGGAACUUGAGUGCAGAAGAGGAUAGUGGAAUUCCAAGUGUAGCGGUGAAAUGCGUA
RNAcentral lists this ribosomal RNA (620 nucleotides) under Bacillus sp. I12B-00764. RNAcentral's name for it is "bacterial SSU rRNA". It matches the Rfam family "Bacterial small subunit ribosomal RNA", at positions 85 to 692 of the family's 1533-position model. Lineage: Bacteria; Bacillati; Bacillota; Bacilli; Caryophanales; Bacillaceae. The record is from RNAcentral.